Puntigrus tetrazona (Sumatra barb) is the source of this 1454-nucleotide long non-coding RNA. RefSeq lists it as uncharacterized. Lineage: Eukaryota; Metazoa; Chordata; Actinopteri; Cypriniformes; Cyprinidae. The record is from RefSeq and is a predicted model, not a curated record. The transcript has 2 exons.
UAUAAACAUAACACUUUUUUCUAAAAUAUUUUGUGUGUGUGUAUACAUAAUAAAUAUAAACAGUACACAUAUGUAAACAAAUAAUGCAAUUAAUCAUUAUCGUUUGACAGCACUAAUAUUAUCAUAAAAUUCAUGGUAAUUUUAAGGUAUCCUUGUUACAGUGUAAUUAUACAUUUAAGUACUAACUAAUUUUAAUUAUCUACAUGUUGGGGUUAGGAUUAUGAUUUAGUUUAGGGUUACUUGCAUGUAAUUAUGUAUAAUUAAUUGCUAUUAUAUUUAUGCCUAAUUAAUUCUUAUAUUUUAAGUGCAAGUAACGUAUAACAAGGACACCUUAAAAUAAAGUGUUAACAAAGACAUUACCGUCAUUUUUAAUCAAUUUAAUGGGUCCUUGCGGAACAUAAAUAAACAAACAGAUAAAUAUUAUGUCAAACAUUUGACCCAUUGUGCAGCUUUAAAUAAGUUUUUCUUAUAUUUUAUGGUUGUUUCAUUUACAGUAUUUUUUUUCCAUUUACUGUAUUUUCCAUUUACAGUAUUUUAUCAAAACAGUGGCAGCUCAAACAAUAGCUGCUGAUUGUGCUUGCAACACAACAAUCAUGGAUUUAAUUCCUGGGGAAUAUUUGAACUGAUAAAAUAUGUACAUCAAAAGCAAUGUAAAACACUUUGGGUAAAAGCCUUUACAGUUGCGCACAAACAACAGGAGUCUAUGGGAUAAAACACAUAGCACAACAAAUGCCCUACAGACUUGAAUUGCUCUGACAGACACUGCUGAACUAAUACAUUAAGCUACGCCUGCGUUUAGGUUUUCUGUAUCAUUUAGAUGAUUUGGAUAUUUACUGUACGAAGGCGAAUGAAAGUUGAAGCUUUGUUAAAGUUGUCUUUAUGUAAAAUAGGUCUCAGUCAGUAAAGAUGACCGUUUGUUGUGUCCAUCUUGCUGAAGGCAAAGCAGUCUCCUCUGUGUGAAUGUUAAGGAGCAGAUGCCCACCUGGCCCACAGAGAAGCCUUUUGGACCAGGAGACACCCAUAUGUUAGAGGAGAUGAUUCCUGCCGAGGAUCACAUACUUUACUGCCACAAAUCUUACUGCGAAAGGAGAGCGAGAGGCAGAAGACAGAUGGAUUCCUUCACUCUUUCACUUUUCUCUGCGCGUGCGAUGGGAUCAGCUAGUGAGAGGCACGGGUAUCCACCACUAAUUAAAGGUGGUGGGUGGGAAUUGGAGGGAUUGCUGGACAGAUGGACUGCCUUCACCAAGGAGCCAAGGAUCUUUGAACCCCGGACUACGGAGCAUAUUUAAUUAAAGCUCUAAUUUUCCCAACGGCAUGAAGAUUUUUUUUUUGUGUGAACACUGACCCCAUUGUCUUUCUCAAGUUUCGGUAUGAGCAUAGAGGUGUUGACUUCUCUGAAUGCGAUGUUAGGAAUAUUCAAAUAUUUUUAAUAAAUAUCUAACAUGCAUAUAAAA